RNAcentral lists this ribosomal RNA (465 nucleotides) under uncultured bacterium. Its description in RNAcentral is "partial 16S ribosomal RNA". It matches the Rfam family "Bacterial small subunit ribosomal RNA", at positions 28 to 507 of the family's 1533-position model. The record is from RNAcentral.
GACGAACGCUGGCGGCGUGCUUAACACAUGCAAGUCGAACGGAAAGGCCCUGCUUUUGUGGGGUGCUCGAGUGGCGAACGGGUGAGUAACACGUGAGUAACCUGCCCUUGACUUUGGGAUAACUUCAGGAAACUGGGGCUAAUACCGGAUAGGAGCUCCUGCUGCAUGGUGGUUGGAAAGUUUCGGCGGUUGGGGAUGGACUCGCGGCUUAUCAGCUUGUUGGUGGGGUAGUGGCUUACCAAGGCUUUGACGGGUAGCCGGCCUGAGAGGGUGACCGGCCACAUUGGGACUGAGAUACGGCCCAGACUCCUACGGGAGGCAGCAGUGGGGAAUAUUGCACAAUGGGCGGAAGCCUGAUGCAGCAACGCCGCGUGCGGGAUGACGGCCUUCGGGUUGUAAACCGCUUUCGCCUGUGACGAAGCGUGAGUGACGGUAAUGGGUAAAGAAGCACCGGCUAACUACGUG